GAUCAUGGCUCAGAACGAACGCUGGCGGCAUGCCUAACACAUGCAAGUCGAACGAGACCUUCGGGUCUAGUGGCGCACGGGUGCGUAACGCGUGGGAACCUGCUUUAGGUUCGGAAUAACUCAGAGAAAUUUGAGCUAAUACCGGAUAAUGUCUUCGGACCAAAGAUUUAUCGCCUUUAGAUGGGCCCGCGUUGGAUUAGCUAGUUGGUGGGGUAAAGGCCUACCAAGGCGACGAUCCAUAGCUGGUCUGAGAGGAUGAUCAGCCACACUGGGACUGAGACACGGCCCAGACUCCUACGGGAGGCAGCAGUGGGGAAUAUUGGACAAUGGGCGAAAGCCUGAUCCAGCAAUGCCGCGUGAGUGAUGAAGGCCUUAGGGUUGUAAAGCUCUUUUACCCGAGAUGAUAAUGACAGUAUCGGGAGAAUAAGCUCCGGCUAACUCCGUG
Molecule: ribosomal RNA, 445 nt
Filed under: uncultured bacterium
Lineage: Bacteria
Description: bacterial SSU rRNA
Rfam family: Bacterial small subunit ribosomal RNA
Source: RNAcentral